This is a long non-coding RNA of Rattus norvegicus (Norway rat), 520 nucleotides long. RefSeq lists it as uncharacterized. Lineage: Eukaryota; Metazoa; Chordata; Mammalia; Rodentia; Muridae. The record is from RefSeq and is a predicted model, not a curated record.
UCCCCAACAAUGGGCAGCUGUGAAUGGGAAGUCCAAGAAUCUAGUAGUUGCUCAGUCCCACAAGGCUAGUUGUUUCAGUUAGUCUUCUGUAGAGGUAGGUUCUAACAAAUGUGCUGGCAAGUAAGUGCAAGCAGGCAAAGAAGAGUGAAUCUGCCUUCUUCCAAUGCCCAAUGUUCAAUGUAGGCCUCCAGAAGAAGACAUAGCCCAGAUUAAAGUGUUUGUUCAUUGAAGCUAUGAAGAGGACCACAAAAGGACAGGGAAAUAUGCAUAUUGACUGCAGUCCACCCAGUGACCUGAAGAUUAGCAUGUAUGAGCAGUGGUCACUCUGGACUGGACUCUAACGAAGCAUUGUUCCUGGGUGAAACAAUGGAAAUAAAGGAGAAGCCAUCAGCAGAAAAGCACAGGUCAACCUAAUAUGCUGGCCAAUAUACUGCAGUUCCCAGAUGUUUUGAUUGAGAAGCACUCAAAUCACUACUACUUUGCCAAAUAAUAAAACAGCCUCUGAUUUUGGAAAGAUUCA